Molecule: RNase P RNA, 370 nt
Filed under: Osmundaria fimbriata
Lineage: Eukaryota; Rhodophyta; Florideophyceae; Ceramiales; Rhodomelaceae
Description: rnpB
Rfam family: Bacterial RNase P class A (bases 2-177)
Source: RNAcentral
GAGGAAAGUCCGGGCUCUAUUUAUAGACAUAUAGUUGUAGAAAAUACAGUAUAGGAGACUAUGAGGAUCGUGCCACAGAAAUAUACCGCUUUUUUUAUUGAGUAAGGGUGCAAUGGUACGUUAAGAGCGUACCAGAAAUAUUGUUAAGAUAUUUGCUAGGUAAACCCCAUAUUAGAGCAAAGCAGUCAGUAUAAUAUGAUAAUUUUAUAAACAUUAUUAAAUUAAUACUGGCCAAUAUAGAUACUGCAUAAAGUGAUUUUUACUUUAGAUUAAUAAUUACCCUUUUUCUUACAGUAACAAUUCAAGAUGCAUUAUAUUUUUAAUUGUGUCUUCGUAUUUUUAUUAAGAUUAAGAACAAAACCCGGCUUAU